Molecule: ribosomal RNA, 1372 nt
Filed under: uncultured bacterium
Lineage: Bacteria
Description: bacterial SSU rRNA
Rfam family: Bacterial small subunit ribosomal RNA
Source: RNAcentral
GAUGAACGCUGGCUGCGUGCCUAAUACAUGCAAGUCGAGCGAACGGACGAGAAGCUUGCUUCUCUGAUGUUAGCGGCGGACGGGUGAGUAACACGUGGAUAACCUACCUAUAAGACUGGGAUAACUUCGGGAAACCGGAGCUAAUACCGGAUAAUAUUUUGAACCGCAUGGUUCAAAAGUGAAAGACGGUCUUGCUGUCACUUAUAGAUGGAUCCGCGCUGCAUUAGCUAGUUGGUAAGGUAACGGCUUACCAAGGCAACGAUGCAUAGCCGACCUGAGAGGGUGAUCGGCCACACUGGAACUGAGACACGGUCCAGACUCCUACGGGAGGCAGCAGUAGGGAAUCUUCCGCAAUGGGCGAAAGCCUGACGGAGCAACGCCGCGUGAGUGAUGAAGGUCUUCGGAUCGUAAAACUCUGUUAUUAGGGAAGAACAUAUGUGUAAGUAACUGUGCACAUCUUGACGGUACCUAAUCAGAAAGCCACGGCUAACUACGUGCCAGCAGCCGCGGUAAUACGUAGGUGGCAAGCGUUAUCCGGAAUUAUUGGGCGUAAAGCGCGCGUAGGCGGUUUUUUAAGUCUGAUGUGAAAGCCCACGGCUCAACCGUGGAGGGUCAUUGGAAACUGGAAAACUUGAGUGCAGAAGAGGAAAGUGGAAUUCCAUGUGUAGCGGUGAAAUGCGCAGAGAUAUGGAGGAACACCAGUGGCGAAGGCGACUUUCUGGUCUGUAACUGACGCUGAUGUGCGAAAGCGUGGGGAUCAAACAGGAUUAGAUACCCUGGUAGUCCACGCCGUAAACGAUGAGUGCUAAGUGUUAGGGGGUUUCCGCCCCUUAGUGCUGCAGCUAACGCAUUAAGCACUCCGCCUGGGGAGUACGACCGCAAGGUUGAAACUCAAAGGAAUUGACGGGGACCCGCACAAGCGGUGGAGCAUGUGGUUUAAUUCGAAGCAACGCGAAGAACCUUACCAAAUCUUGACAUCCUUUGACAACUCUAGAGAUAGAGCCUUCCCCUUCGGGGGACAAAGUGACAGGUGGUGCAUGGUUGUCGUCAGCUCGUGUCGUGAGAUGUUGGGUUAAGUCCUGCAACGAGCGCAACCCUUAAGCUUAGUUGCCAUCAUUAAGUUGGGCACUCUAAGUUGACUGCCGGUGACAAACCGGAGGAAGGUGGGGAUGACGUCAAAUCAUCAUGCCCCUUAUGAUUUGGGCUACACACGUGCUACAAUGGACAAUACAAAGGGCAGCGAAACCGCGAGGUCAAGCAAAUCCCAUAAAGUUGUUCUCAGUUCGGAUUGUAGUCUGCAACUCGACUACAUGAAGCUGGAAUCGCUAGUAAUCGUAGGUCAGCAUGCUACGGUGAAUACGUUCCCGGGUCU